GCAAUCAGGUAAUUUAUGUGGUUUCUUCAUCAUUAUGGUGCACAUUCUGCACCAAACCCAAUAUGUUUGUGUUUGUAUUUUGCACAUUGGCUUCAUGAGAUUUAAGGUUAAGCUUGGUUCUUAGCUUAGCUCAUAUAUUUUUCAAGCCUGGGGAUAAUCAUUGGACUAAUGAGCAAGUUUGCAUGCUUGGCUCCAUAGUGCUCAGCUGUUCCAAUUUCCAAACCACAACUCUUUUUCUGCUUUUCCUUCUGCAUUAUUUGGAGUUUAUUUAUGUAACAGUUGAAAUAAUUUGAAUCUUCAUAACUUGAAUGGCCUCUGUGCACAUUCAUUUACUCCUAGUCAACUACUUUGAUAGUUUUGAAUAACUAUAAAAGUGUUUCUGGUUGGUUUGCUUAUUUACUAGUUCUUUGAGUUUUUUAGGGACUUCCAUUAUUUUAUCUUUGUUCCAAAUAUUAUUUUGUUUCCUAGUUAUUCAUUUAUACUUUACUUUCUAUAUAUGACAUUCUUUAGGAUGGCUUGCACGUGAUCCUUCU
Molecule: unclassified non-coding RNA, 533 nt
Filed under: Hevea brasiliensis (rubber tree)
Lineage: Eukaryota; Viridiplantae; Streptophyta; Magnoliopsida; Malpighiales; Euphorbiaceae
Source: RNAcentral